RNAcentral lists this unclassified non-coding RNA (206 nucleotides) under Hevea brasiliensis (rubber tree). The record is from RNAcentral. Lineage: Eukaryota; Viridiplantae; Streptophyta; Magnoliopsida; Malpighiales; Euphorbiaceae.
CAACAUCUGUAUUGAAAAUUCUUUUGGUCGUUUAGUCCAUUGAUAGAUACUUAGUUGUAGGCUAAGAGGCAGUCUCAUAGUUAUAAUAUGUGAAAAUGUAUUACGAGAGAUAAAAUAACAGAUUUGAAUUGUGGUUUUACAUAAUAUCAUGGUGAAAAACAAUUUCAAGAUAUGUGACGCGAAAAUUUGGAGACCCUUAACAGUUG